GCCGCCUUACCAAGCUCGUCGUAGUCCUGCUCCUCGGCGCGAUCGUAAAGCGCAGGUCGCGGGUUCGAAUCCCGCGGGUGGCU
This 83-nucleotide transfer RNA is filed under the name Planctomycetota bacterium. Its description in RNAcentral is "tRNA-OTHER". Lineage: Bacteria; Pseudomonadati; Planctomycetota. The record is from RNAcentral. RNAcentral also lists the same sequence under 1 other name.